RNAcentral lists this ribosomal RNA (326 nucleotides) under Cortinarius sp. 9813 JG-2015. Its description in RNAcentral is "eukaryotic LSU rRNA". The stretch from base 1 to 71 matches the Rfam family "5.8S ribosomal RNA", at positions 84 to 154 of the family's 154-position model. Lineage: Eukaryota; Fungi; Basidiomycota; Agaricomycetes; Agaricales; Cortinariaceae. RNAcentral also lists the same sequence under 1 other name. The record is from RNAcentral.
GUGAGUCAUCGAAUCUUUGAACGCACCUUGCGCUCCUUGGUAUUCUGAGGAGCAUGCCUGUUUGAGUGUCAUUAAUAUAUAUCAACCUCUACAACUUUGUUGAGUUGUUGGAUGUGGGGGUUGUUGCUGGCCUCUCUGUGAGGUCAGCUCCCCUGAAAUACAUUAGCAGAACAAUCUCUGUUCAUUGGUGUGAUAACUAUCUACGCUAUUGAAUGUGAAGUAGUUUGGCUUAUAAACAGUCCAUUGACUUGGACAAAUUUCUCAUUAAUGUGACCUCAAAUCAGGUAGGACUACCCGCUGAACUUAAGCAUAUCAAUAAGCGGAGG